This 120-nucleotide small nucleolar RNA is filed under the name Phascolarctos cinereus (koala). RNAcentral describes it as "Small nucleolar RNA SNORA31 (ENSPCIG00000006333.2)". The record is from RNAcentral. Lineage: Eukaryota; Metazoa; Chordata; Mammalia; Diprotodontia; Phascolarctidae.
AUGUACACUGCUUAAGAGCUGGGUCACUUUUAAGGUUUCCACUAAGAUGCAAGAAAAAAUUUCCUCGUGAUUUCUCUCUGCCUGAUUGUGGCAAUCUAGAUUAAAUAGGAGAAUACAAUA